This 253-nucleotide ribosomal RNA is filed under the name uncultured bacterium. RNAcentral describes it as "partial 16S ribosomal RNA". It matches the Rfam family "Bacterial small subunit ribosomal RNA", at positions 524 to 776 of the family's 1533-position model. The record is from RNAcentral.
GACGUAGGGGUCGAGCGUUGUCCGGAAUUACUGGGCGUAAAGAGUUCGUAGGCGGUUUGUCGCGUCGUUUGUGAAAACCAGCAGCUCAACUGCUGGCUUGCAGGCGAUACGGGCAGACUUGAGUACUGCAGGGGAGACUGGAAUUCCUGGUGUAGCGGUGAAAUGCGCAGAUAUCGGGAGGAACACCAGUGGCGAAGGCGGCGAUCUGGGCAGAUACUGACGCUGAGGUGCGAAAGCGUGGGGAGCAAACAGG